CCUACGGGAGGCAGCAGUGGGGGAUAUUGCACAAUGGGGGGAACCCUGAUGCAGCGACGCCGCGUGUGGGAAGACGGUCCUCUGGAUUGUAAACCACUGUCCCCAGGGACGAAAAUGACGGUACCUGGGGAGGAAGCUCCGGCUAACUACGUGCCAGCAGCCGCGGUAAUACGUAGGGAGCGAGCGUUGUCCGGAAUUACUGGGUGUAAAGGGAGCGUAGGCGGGGAUGCAAGUUGGGUGUCAAAACUACCGGCUCAACUGGUAGUCGCACUCAAAACUGCAGCUCUUGAGUGAAGUAGAGGCAGGCGGAAUUCCUAGUGUAGCGGUGAAAUGCGUAGAUAUUAGGAGGAACACCAGUGGCGAAGGCGGAUGACUGGACGGCAACUGACGGUGAGGCGCGAAAGCGUGGGGAGCAAACAGGAUUAGAUACCCUUGUAGUC
This 440-nucleotide ribosomal RNA is filed under the name uncultured bacterium. RNAcentral's name for it is "partial 16S ribosomal RNA". It matches the Rfam family "Bacterial small subunit ribosomal RNA", at positions 338 to 795 of the family's 1533-position model. The record is from RNAcentral.